GUCUCUGGCCAUACCACCCUUAACACGCCAGAGCUUGUCUGAUCUUGGAAGCUACGCAGGGUCAGGAUGGUUAGUACUUGCUGUGGUAUGAUGGCGUACACCUGUAAUCCCAGCACUAGGGAGG
This 124-nucleotide ribosomal RNA is filed under the name Chinchilla lanigera (long-tailed chinchilla). The record is from RNAcentral. Lineage: Eukaryota; Metazoa; Chordata; Mammalia; Rodentia; Chinchillidae.